RNAcentral lists this unclassified non-coding RNA (1590 nucleotides) under Hevea brasiliensis (rubber tree). The record is from RNAcentral. Lineage: Eukaryota; Viridiplantae; Streptophyta; Magnoliopsida; Malpighiales; Euphorbiaceae.
CCUCAGGUUGGCUGCAUGUGGUUUCGUAAAAGUGGUUUUCCCUCUCUCUGUAGCUCAGCAAUUGAAGCAGCUUAAAUAUUUAAUCAUAUGGAAUUGUUCUCAGAUGGAAUACAUUGUUGCAGAAGCACAAGAAGAAAAAAACAAGAGAAUAAGCCAAAAAGUGUUUCCUAACUUAAUUCGGCUUGAUCUUUUUUAGCUACCAAAGCUGAUGGCUCUUUGUGCUGACAGCCAUAUUUCUUUUGACUGGCUCUCAUUAAAAAAAUUUACAUUGUAUGAUUGUCCCAAAACGAAGAUUCUUUGUUCUACAAUUUCAGACUCAUCUACAUUGAAGAAAAGUUUUGAUCAAAGUGAGCUCAGUGGCAAGGAAGUCAUGUGUCCAAUAAGCUCAAUUAUUCAAGGGUUAGGAAGAAGAAGAGGAGAGAAAAAAGUUUCCAACAAAGAGGUUUCAUUAAUCAAGAAUCAGGAUGAUCCAUCUGUUAGCCAUAUUGAUGAAAAGACAAGGAAAUGUUAUGCAUUGCCAUCCAAAUUGAUUGAAAGAUUGCAAAAUUUGAAAAAUCUUAAAAUAUUUGAUUGUGAUUCAAUGGAAGUGAUAUUUUCAUUUGAGGGGCUGAUUCCCGAGGAAUGCCAUGCUACUACUGGAGUACUCAAUUCUAUGGAAGAGAUGCGUUUCGAGAGGUUAUCAAAUUUGAAGCGCUUAUGCUUUAAGAUUCCAUCAGAAAUCAAAGCCUUCCAAAACCUAAAAAUGUUGGAAGUAGAAUCUUGUGACAAUUUAAUAAACCUUUUCUCACCUGGCUUGGCCAAACUUCUAGAAAAGCUACAAGAAAUAAGGAUCACUAGCUGCAAGAUGAUGGAGGAAAUUAUUGGAAAAGAGGAUGAAGAAAAACAAGAAGAAGGCAUGCAAACAAUUGUGUUCCCUCAACUAAGCUCUCUGACAUUUGAAGAGCUACCCAGUCUCAAGAGUUUCUGCAAUGGGAUUUACGCCCUUGAAUUUCCAUUAUUAGAAAAUCUGAACUUUUGGAAAUGUAAUGGGAUGAAGACAUUCUCUUAUGGAUCAUUAAGCAUGCCAAAGCUAAAGAAACUUAAUAUAAAUUGUGAGAACCAUCAAUUAAUGGGAACUCCAGACCUUAAUUCAACAAUGAGUCACUUGUUCAAGGCAAAGGGCAAAGUGGUAUUGAAUCCUUAAACAGGAGUGAUGCUUGACAAAUUCAGCGAAGACAUGAAAAAAGGGAGAUUUUGAACUCUGGGACUGCUGGAUCCUUGCUAUUGCUCUGGUUUCCUCGGACUUGUUUGUUGUUUCUUUGGGCUUCCUAUUCUUUUGGUGGUCUUGGUGCUGUUGGUGUCUUGUUGCCGCUUUGUUUUUCUUUGGGUUUGCUUUGUUUUUCUUUGGGUUUGCUUUGCUGCUCCUUGAUGUGCUGCUGCUCUUGGAACCUGUUGUCUGUUGUUAGUUAUGGGUCCGCUGACCUGACCUUUGAUCAUUUUGCUGGAGCGCUUUUGCUUUUGUUUUGAUGCUAUUAUGUUUAUUUGCCUCUUAGAAAUUUCUUUUCAUUGAAUUGUUGCAGAGAAUCUUUGUGUAUUGUAGGUUUCAUUGCU